Molecule: ribosomal RNA, 702 nt
Filed under: uncultured bacterium
Lineage: Bacteria
Also listed under: 1 other name
Description: bacterial SSU rRNA
Rfam family: Bacterial small subunit ribosomal RNA
Source: RNAcentral
AGAGAAGAAAGGGAGGCUCUUCGGAGCUUUCGCUGGAGGAGGGGCUUGCGUCUGAUUAGCUAGUUGGAGGGAUAACGGCCCACCAAGGCGACGAUCAGUAGCCGGUCUGAGAGGAUGAACGGCCACAUUGGGACUGAGACACGGCCCAGACUCCUACGGGAGGCAGCAGUGGGGAAUCUUCCGCAAUGGACGAAAGUCUGACGGAGCAACGCCGCGUGAACGAUGACGGCCUUCGGGUUGUAAAGCUCUGUUAUACGGGACGAAUGGUACGACGGUCAAUACCCGUCGUAAGUGACGGUACCGUAAGAGAAAGCCACGGCUAACUACGUGCCAGCAGCCGCGGUAAUACGUAGGUGGCAAGCGUUGUCCGGAAUUAUUGGGCGUAAAGGGCGCGCCGGCGGCGUCGUAAGUCGGUCUUAAAAGUGCGGGGCUUAACCCCGUGAGGGGACCGAAACUGCGAUGCUAGAGUAUCGGAGAGGAAAGCGGAAUUCCUAGUGUAGCGGUGAAAUGCGUAGAUAUUCGGAGGAACACCAGUGGCGAAAGCGGCUAUCUGGACGACAACUGACGAUGAGGCGCGAAAGCCAGGCGAGCAAACGGGAUGAGAUACCCCGGUAGUCGGGGCCGUUUACGAUGGAUACUAGGUGCAGGAGGUAUCGACCCCUUCUGUGCCGGAGUUAACGCAAUAAGUAUCCCGCCUGGGGA